RNAcentral lists this ribosomal RNA (808 nucleotides) under Cardinium endosymbiont of Bemisia tabaci. RNAcentral describes it as "bacterial SSU rRNA". It matches the Rfam family "Bacterial small subunit ribosomal RNA", at positions 8 to 811 of the family's 1533-position model. Lineage: Bacteria; Pseudomonadati; Bacteroidota; Cytophagia; Cytophagales; Amoebophilaceae. The record is from RNAcentral.
AGAGUUUGAUCCUGGCUCAGGAUGAACGCUAGCGGCAGGCCUCAUACAUGCAAGUCGAGGGGCAGCGGGACACUUCGGUGUUGCCGGCGACCGGCGGACGGGUGCGUAAUGCGCAUGCAAUCUACUUUACACUGGGGAAUAGCCUCCGGAAACGGGAAUUAAUACCCCAUAUAAUCUUAUUAGCGCAUGUUAAAAAGAUGAAAGCUCCGGCGGUGUAAAAUGAGCGUGCGUCCUAUCAGCUAGUUGGUGAGGUAAUGGCUCACCAAGGCUACGAUGGGUAGGGGUUCUUAGUGGAAGGUCCCCCACACUGGCACUGAGAUACGGGCCAGACUCCCACGGGAGGCAGCAGUAGGGAAUAUUGGUCAAUGGGCGCAAGCCUGAGCCAGCCAUGCCGCGUGCAGGAUGAAGGCUCUCUGAGUUGUAAACUGCUUUUGUACAGGAGCAAAAAAAUCCCUACGGGGGUUCUUGAGAGUACUGUAAGAAUAAGCACCGGCUAAUUCCGUGCCAGCAGCCGCGGUAAUACGGGAGGUGCAAGCGUUAUCCGGUUUUAUUGGGUUUAAAGGGUGCGUAGGCGGCUUAUUAAGUCAGUUGUGAAAUCCUAGUGCUUAACGCUAGAACUGCGAUUGAUACUAUUAGGCUUGAGUUAAGAAGAGGUAAGUAGAAUUUAUGGUGUAGUAGUGAAAUGCUUAGAUAUCAUAAGGAAUACCAAUAGCGUAGGCAGCUUACUGGUCUUUAACUGACGCUGAGGCACGAAAGCGUGGGGAGCAAACAGGAUUAGAUACCCUGGUAGUCCACGCUGUAAACGAUG